RNAcentral lists this transfer RNA (83 nucleotides) under Schistocephalus solidus. It matches the Rfam family "tRNA". From Rfam's summary of the family: Transfer RNA (tRNA) molecules are approximately 80 nucleotides in length. Lineage: Eukaryota; Metazoa; Platyhelminthes; Cestoda; Diphyllobothriidea; Diphyllobothriidae. The record is from Rfam by way of RNAcentral.
GGCCUCGUAGCUCAGUUGGCUAGAGCGUUGGCUGUGCUAAAACCUCCCACUUGCUGGCAUGGGUUCGAAUCCCACCGAGGUCG